GGUUAAGCGACUAAGCGUACACGGUGGAUGCCCUGGCAGUCAGAGGCGAUGAAGGACGUGCUAAUCUGCGAUAAGCGUCGGUAAGGUGAUAUGAACCGUUAUAACCGGCGAUUUCCGAAUGGGGAAACCCAGUGUGAUUCGUCACACUAUCAUUAACUGAAUCCAUAGGUUAAUGAGGCGAACCGGGGGAACUGAAACAUCUAAGUACCCCGAGGAAAAGAAAUCAACCGAGAUUCCCCCAGUAGCGGCGAGCGAACGGGGAGCAGCCCAGAGCCUGAAUCAGUGUGUGUGUUAGUGGAAGCGUCUGGAAAGGCGUGCGAUACAGGGUGACAGCCCCGUACACAAAAAUGCACAUGCUGUGAGCUCGAUGAGUAGGGCGGGACACGUGGUAUCCUGUCUGAAUAUGGGGGGACCAUCCUCCAAGGCUAAAUACUCCUGACUGACCGAUAGUGAACCAGUACCGUGAGGGAAAGGCGAAAAGAACCCCGGCGAGGGGAGUGAAAAAGAACCUGAAACCGUGUACGUACAAGCAGUGGGAGCACGCUUAGGCGUGUGACUGCGUACCUUUUGUAUAAUGGGUCAGCGACUUAUAUUCUGUAGCAAGGUUAACCGAAUAGGGGAGCCGAAGGGAAACCGAGUCUUAACUGGGCGUUAAGUUGCAGGGUAUAGACCCGAAACCCGGUGAUCUAGCCAUGGGCAGGUUGAAGGUUGGGUAACACUAACUGGAGGACCGAACCGACUAAUGUUGAAAAAUUAGCGGAUGACUUGUGGCUGGGGGUGAAAGGCCAAUCAAACCGGGAGAUAGCUGGUUCUCCCCGAAAGCUAUUUAGGUAGCGCCUCGUGAAUUCAUCUCCGGGGGUAGAGCACUGUUUCGGCAAGGGGGUCAUCCCGACUUACCAACCCGAUGCAAACUGCGAAUACCGGAGAAUGUUAUCACGGGAGACACACGGCGGGUGCUAACGUCCGUCGUGAAGAGGGAAACAACCCAGACCGCCAGCUAAGGUCCCAAAGUCAUGGUUAAGUGGGAAACGAUGUGGGAAGGCCCAGACAGCCAGGAUGUUGGCUUAGAAGCAGCCAUCAUUUAAAGAAAGCGUAAUAGCUCACUGGUCGAGUCGGCCUGCGCGGAAGAUGUAACGGGGCUAAACCAUGCACCGAAGCUGCGGCAGCGACGCUUAUGCGUUGUUGGGUAGGGGAGCGUUCUGUAAGCCUGCGAAGGUGUGCUGUGAGGCAUGCUGGAGGUAUCAGAAGUGCGAAUGCUGACAUAAGUAACGAUAAAGCGGGUGAAAAGCCCGCUCGCCGGAAGACCAAGGGUUCCUGUCCAACGUUAAUCGGGGCAGGGUGAGUCGACCCCUAAGGCGAGGCCGAAAGGCGUAGUCGAUGGGAAACAGGUUAAUAUUCCUGUACUUGGUGUUACUGCGAAGGGGGGACGGAGAAGGCUAUGUUGGCCGGGCGACGGUUGUCCCGGUUUAAGCGUGUAGGCUGGUUUUCCAGGCAAAUCCGGAAAACUAAGGCUGAGGCGUGAUGACGAGGCACUACGGUGCUGAAGCAACAAAUGCCCUGCUUCCAGGAAAAGCCUCUAAGCAUCAGGUAACAUCAAAUCGUACCCCAAACCGACACAGGUGGUCAGGUAGAGAAUACCAAGGCGCUUGAGAGAACUCGGGUGAAGGAACUAGGCAAAAUGGUGCCGUAACUUCGGGAGAAGGCACGCUGAUAUGUAGGUGAAGCGACUUGCUCGUGGAGCUGAAAUCAGUCGAAGAUACCAGCUGGCUGCAACUGUUUAUUAAAAACACAGCACUGUGCAAACACGAAAGUGGACGUAUACGGUGUGACGCCUGCCCGGUGCCGGAAGGUUAAUUGAUGGGGUCAGCGCAAGCGAAGCUCUUGAUCGAAGCCCCGGUAAACGGCGGCCGUAACUAUAACGGUCCUAAGGUAGCGAAAUUCCUUGUCGGGUAAGUUCCGACCUGCACGAAUGGCGUAAUGAUGGCCAGGCUGUCUCCACCCGAGACUCAGUGAAAUUGAACUCGCUGUGAAGAUGCAGUGUACCCGCGGCAAGACGGAAAGACCCCGUGAACCUUUACUAUAGCUUGACACUGAACAUUGAGCCUUGAUGUGUAGGAUAGGUGGGAGGCUUUGAAGUGUGGACGCCAGUCUGCAUGGAGCCGACCUUGAAAUACCACCCUUUAAUGUUUGAUGUUCUAACGUUGACCCGUGAUCCGGGUUGCGGACAGUGUCUGGUGGGUAGUUUGACUGGGGCGGUCUCCUCCUAAAGAGUAACGGAGGAGCACGAAGGUUGGCUAAUCCUGGUCGGACAUCAGGAGGUUAGUGCAAUGGCAUAAGCCAGCUUGACUGCGAGCGUGACGGCGCGAGCAGGUGCGAAAGCAGGUCAUAGUGAUCCGGUGGUUCUGAAUGGAAGGGCCAUCGCUCAACGGAUAAAAGGUACUCCGGGGAUAACAGGCUGAUACCGCCCAAGAGUUCAUAUCGACGGCGGUGUUUGGCACCUCGAUGUCGGCUCAUCACAUCCUGGGGCUGAAGUAGGUCCCAAGGGUAUGGCUGUUCGCCAUUUAAAGUGGUACGCGAGCUGGGUUUAGAACGUCGUGAGACAGUUCGGUCCCUAUCUGCCGUGGGCGCUGGAGAACUGAGGGGGGCUGCUCCUAGUACGAGAGGACCGGAGUGGACGCAUCACUGGUGUUCGGGUUGUCAUGCCAAUGGCACUGCCCGGUAGCUAAAUGCGGAAGAGAUAAGUGCUGAAAGCAUCUAAGCACGAAACUUGCCCCGAGAUGAGUUCUCCCUGACUCCUUGAGAGUCCUGAAGGAACGUUGAAGACGACGACGUUGAUAGGCCGGGUGUGUAAGCGCAGCGAUGCGUUGAGCUAACCGGUACUAAUGAACCGUGAGGCUUAACCUU
This 2904-nucleotide ribosomal RNA is filed under the name Escherichia coli. RNAcentral's name for it is "23S ribosomal RNA". It matches the Rfam family "Bacterial large subunit ribosomal RNA". The record is from RNAcentral. Lineage: Bacteria; Pseudomonadati; Pseudomonadota; Gammaproteobacteria; Enterobacterales; Enterobacteriaceae.